RNAcentral lists this ribosomal RNA (478 nucleotides) under uncultured bacterium. Its description in RNAcentral is "partial 16S ribosomal RNA". It matches the Rfam family "Bacterial small subunit ribosomal RNA", at positions 28 to 507 of the family's 1533-position model. The record is from RNAcentral.
GAUGAACGCUGGCGGCGUGCUUAACACAUGCAAGUCGAACGGGAAACCUUUUAUUGAUGCUUCGGCAGAUUUAGCUGGUUUCUAGUGGCGGACGGGUGAGUAACGCGUGGGUAUCCUGCCCUAUACAGGGGGAUAACAACCAGAAAUGGUUGCUAAUACCGCAUAAGCGCACAGGGCCGCAUGGUCCGGUGUGAACAACUCCGGUGGUAUAGGAUGGACCCGCGUUGGAUUAGCCAGUUGGCAGGGUAACGGCCUACCACAGCGACGAUCCAUAGCCGGCCUGAGAGGCAGAACGGCCACAUUGGGACUGGGACGCGGCCCAGACUCCUACGGGAGGCAGGAGUGGGGAAUAUUGCACAAUGGGGGAAACGCUGAAGGAGCGACGCCGCGAGAAGGAAGAAGUAUCUCGGUAAGUAAACUUCGAUAAGCAGGGAAGAUAGUGACGGUACCUGACGAAUAAGCCCCGGCUAACUACGUG